RNAcentral lists this ribosomal RNA (486 nucleotides) under uncultured bacterium. RNAcentral's name for it is "bacterial SSU rRNA". It matches the Rfam family "Bacterial small subunit ribosomal RNA", at positions 29 to 512 of the family's 1533-position model. The record is from RNAcentral.
AUUGAACGCUGGCGGAAUGCUUUACACAUGCAAGUCGAGCGGCAGCGCGGGGGCAACCCUGGCGGCGAGCGGCGAACGGGUGAGUAACAUAUCGGAACGUACCCAGUCGUGGGGGAUAACUAUCCGAAAGGAUAGCUAAUACCGCAUACGUCCUGAGGGAGAAAGCGGGGGAUCGCAAGACCUCGCGCGAUUGGAGCGGCCGAUAUCGGAUUAGCUAGUUGGUGGGGUAAAGGCUCACCAAGGCGACGAUCCGUAGCGGGUCUGAGAGGACGACCCGCCACACUGGAACUGAGACACGGUCCAGACUCCUACGGGAGGCAGCAGUGGGGAAUUUUGGACAAUGGGCGCAAGCCUGAUCCAGCCAUGCCGCGUGCGGGAAGAAGGCCUCGGUUGUAACGACUUUGUCUAGGAGAAAUACCUUGUAGCUAAUACCUCGGGGGAGUGACGGUACCUGAAGAAUAAGCACCGGCUAACUACGUAGCCAGC